Molecule: ribosomal RNA, 406 nt
Filed under: uncultured bacterium
Lineage: Bacteria
Description: partial 16S ribosomal RNA
Rfam family: Bacterial small subunit ribosomal RNA
Source: RNAcentral
AUUGAACGCUGGCGGCAGGCCUAACACAUGCAAGUCGAACGAGUGGCGGACGGGUGAGUAAUGUCUGGGAAACUGCCUGAUGGAGGGGGAUAACUACUGGAAACGGUAGCUAAUACCGCAUAACAUCCGAUGUGCCCAGAUGGGAUUAGCUAGUUGGUGGGGUAACGGCUCACCAAGGCGACGAUCCCUAGCUGGUCUGCGAGGAUGACCAGCAACACUGGAACCGAUCAACGUUCCAGAGUCCUACGGUAGGACGCAGUGGGGAAUAUUGACCAAUGGGUGCAAGCCUGAUGCAGCCAUGCCGCGUGUAUGAAGAAGGCCUUCGGGUUGUAAAGUACUUUCAGCGGGGAGGCGUUACCCGCAGAAGAAGCACCGGCUAACUCCGUGCCAGCAGCCGCGGUAAUAC